RNAcentral lists this microRNA (21 nucleotides) under Acyrthosiphon pisum (pea aphid). RNAcentral's name for it is "api-miR-3055". The record is from miRBase by way of RNAcentral. Lineage: Eukaryota; Metazoa; Arthropoda; Insecta; Hemiptera; Aphididae.
GCAGUUCGCGAUAAGCGGCCG